Molecule: ribosomal RNA, 433 nt
Filed under: uncultured bacterium
Lineage: Bacteria
Description: partial 16S ribosomal RNA
Rfam family: Bacterial small subunit ribosomal RNA
Source: RNAcentral
AACGAACGCUGGCGGCAUGCCUAACACAUGCAAGUCGAACGAUACCUUCGGGUCUAGUGGCGCACGGGUGCGUAACGCGUGGGAACCUGCCCUUAGGUUCGGAAUAACUCCCCGAAAGGGGUGCUAAUACCGGCUAAUGUCUUCGGACCAAAGAUUUAUCGCCCUUGGAUGGGCCCGCGUUGGAUUAGCUAGUUGGUAGGGUAAAAGCCUACCACGGCGACGAUCCAUAGCUGGGCUGAGAGGAUGAGCAGCCACACUGGGACUGAGACACGGCCCAGACUCCUACGGGAGGCAGCAGUGGGGAAUAUUGGAAAAUGGGCGAAAGCCUGAUCCAGCAAGGCCGCGUGAGUGAUGAAGGCAUUAGGGUUGUAAAGCUCUUUUACCCGGGAUGAUAAUGACAGUACCGGGAGAAUAAGCACCGGCUAACUCCGUG